This 537-nucleotide ribosomal RNA is filed under the name Curvularia papendorfii. RNAcentral describes it as "eukaryotic LSU rRNA". The stretch from base 161 to 314 matches the Rfam family "5.8S ribosomal RNA". Lineage: Eukaryota; Fungi; Ascomycota; Dothideomycetes; Pleosporales; Pleosporaceae. The record is from RNAcentral.
UUAAGUACAUAUGAGCUGUCCGCAGCUGGAGUAUUUUAUUACCCUUGUCUUUUGCGCACUUGUUGUUUCCUGGGCGGGUUCGCUCGCCACCAGGACCACCAAAUAAACCUUUUUUAUGCAGUUGCAAUCAGCGUCAGUACAAACAAUGUAAAUCAUUUACAACUUUCAACAACGGAUCUCUUGGUUCUGGCAUCGAUGAAGAACGCAGCGAAAUGCGAUACGUAGUGUGAAUUGCAGAAUUCAGUGAAUCAUCGAAUCUUUGAACGCACAUUGCGCCCUUUGGUAUUCCAAAGGGCAUGCCUGUUCGAGCGUCAUUUGUACCCUCAAGCUUUGCUUGGUGUUGGGCGUUUUUGUCUUUGGUCGCCCAAAGACUCGCCUUAAAGUGAUUGGCAGCCGGCCUUUCUGGUUUCGCAGCGCAGCACAUUUUUGCGCUUGCCAUCAGCAAGACGGCAAUCCAUCAAGCCUCCUUCUCACGUUUGACCUCGGAUCAGGUAGGGAUACCCGCUGAACUUAAGCAUAUCAAAAGCCCCGGAGGAA